Molecule: long non-coding RNA, 93 nt
Organism: Pygoscelis adeliae (Adelie penguin)
Lineage: Eukaryota; Metazoa; Chordata; Aves; Sphenisciformes; Spheniscidae
Exons: 3
Source: RefSeq, a predicted model, not a curated record
AAUUACAGAAUCAUAGAGUAGUUUGCGUUGGAAGGGACCUUUAAAGGUCAUCUAGUUCGACCCCCCUGCAAUGAGAAUCUUUAAGUAAAUCAG